UUUCCAAAAAUGUAAGCAGCAAUCUAAUUGGUUGCUAUGGGCAACUGCACCACUCUCCCUCUACAAGGCAAUGGUUACAUGAACCUGACAAGCCACAACCGCGACGGGUCACGUGGCCCUAAUGAGCUCUUUGGUGACUUGAUAAGUCCCGUCAGGAACAGAGAGCAUGCUGGGAGUUGUAGUUUAGCAACAGCUGGAGGCACGCCGGUUGAAAAACACUGCAGUCCAGGCCUCACCUCCCGGUCCUUGAGCCCGAGCAGCAGCACCUCCUCCAUGAGGAGCUGGGCCGGGGCUUGUUGUUUGCAAAAAUAUCACAUUCAGGGUGAAUUAAAGAAGAAAGUGCUGAAGAUGGGUAUAUUAAUGCUAUCCGACAGGACCGUCAGAUACGUCUCUGAGAACUCAAAGGCAAGUGGGUACUGAUGGACCAGCUGCCAAACACAGUCCAAGAAGAGCAAGAAGACGGGAGCCUGUAGAGAAGAAAAUGCAAGAAGAUGUUGUACACAUGGUAAAGUGCACAGGAAAUCGUACCCUAUAUGUUCUCUAAGCAGAUCGUUCCAUCUGGACAUCGUUCUGAGCAUAAAACAUUUACUAAGCAAAAACAUGUACUGCUUCCACUUGCUAUAGAGCCACUUCAAUACACCAAUACUAUAGCAAAGAGUUGGUGAUCACUUUGCAAUCUUAAGCCCUGCAGGGUACGGAUAUUAAACAUGCAUAUGAUUAAAGUGUCCCUGUCAUUUAAAAAAAAUAAUAAUAAAAAAAUAAUAAUAUAUUUAUAAUAUAUAUAUAAAAAAUGGAAACGCAAGGAAAAGCACCGUGCUUAGGAUUCCUGUUCCGUGUGGGUGCUCAGCUCCGGGAAUAGACCAGAACCCAAAUAAUAAGAAAAUAGUUAGAAGCAGCACUCCAAACUGUGGUAAAAUUCAAGGCGUUUGUUCACACAUCUGUGCAAAGCGACGUUUCGGCUCAACAAGAGAGCCUUUCUCAAGCAUAAUAAACCAUAAACCAUAAUAAACCAUAAACCAUAUAUAUAUAUCAGCCCCCUAAUCACACAUGUAAAUGAGGGGGGAGGGUGUCAUUCACAAAAACAUCAACCGUGUACAAAAUACUCAAGAGACCCCCAAGUAAUGAAUAACACCUCUUCUAUCAUCAAGGUUAUGUAAGACUUCCUCCUUCUGAUUUUUUGGGAUUAUUGCAGAAUGAGGGCAAUGUAAUAUCCUGAGACCUGUGAAAAUUAGUGACCACUUUUAUAAGAAAAACUGGAUUAAGUUUGAAGAUAAUCCUAUCAUCCAGGAUGAUACAAUAUGGUUCUUCAAUAGAUAGAGCCCGGAUUUCUCCAACCCUUCUUGCUGAGGUGAUGGCAACUAACAGCGCAGUUUUGCAGGUCAAUAAUUUAACAGAGGUCUCAGACAGAGGCUCAAAGGGAUGUUUGGUUAAGGCAGAAAAUAACUAAAUUUAAAUCCCAUGGGAGGAGUCAAAUUAGAUAUUUUAGGUUUUAAUCUAGAAAUGGCAGAAAAAAAUAUUUUUAUCCAUUUAUGUUCAGCUAGAGAGGUAUCAAAGUAGCGCCCCAAAGCUGCCGUCUAAACUUUUAAAAGUACUGAUAAAAAGACCUUUUUCAAACCCUUCUUGGAGAAAGUCUAGUAUCUUAGGGAUGUCUGGAUUCAAAAUGUCCGGUGGGGAAGGACCACACCAUGAGAUAAAUUUCUUCCAGUAUCUUAAAUAUAUAGCAGAAGUAGAACCUUUUUUUUACUUUUUAACAAUGUAUUAAAUACUAUAAAGAAAGUCUUUUCUUUAGUAGGAUCUGCCUUUCAAGAGCCAUGCUGUUAACUGUAGGGUUUCUAGGUCUUGGUAACAGAGGUCCCUGCGUCAGAAGAUUCUUAACCUGAGGAAGCCAAAUCGGAUCUGUUACAGAGAGGAGAUUUAGGAGACUGAACCAACCUCUCUUGGGCCACCAAGGGGCUAUGAAGAAGACACCAACUUUCUCCAAUUGAAUCUUUUGGAGUGCUUUCAGGAUGAGAGGCAGAAGAGGAAAUGCAUAAACAAGAGAGAAGUCCCAAGCUUGUUGAAGAGCAUCUACUGCAAGAGGUUUCUCCCUCAGAUUGAGGGAGAAAACGUUCUGGACUUUGCAAUUUUCUUGUUGGCAAAGAGAUCUAUUUCCGGGUUCCCCCAAACUCUCACCAGUGACAGAAAGACUUGUGAAUUUAGUUCCCAUUGCCCUGGAUCCACUUGGUUUCAGCUUAGGAAGUCUGCUUCCUGAUUUUCUACACCCUUCAGGUGUACAGCUGUAAGGGAAAGAACAUUUUUCUCUGCUCCGAUGAAAACCUUUGAGGAGAGAUCUCUUGGAGUGGAAUGUUUUGUUCCCCCUUGGUGGUUGAGAAAGGCCACUGUGGUUACAUUGUCCGAAUAAACCUUCACGUGAUGGUUCUGAAUCUCUUAAUGCCAUUAAAACUGCCUUCAAUUCCUGAAAGUUGGAGGAGUGACAUCAGGUUUUCAGGGACCGUGAGCCCUGAAGAUGAAGGCUCUCGACGUGAAAGACUUGCAUCUGUCAUCACUGUAACCGCAGGAGAAAGGCUCCAAUGAAUUCCCAUAGAGAGAGUCUUUUUCUUCAGCCACCAAGCUAAUGAGGCUUUUACCUGAUGUGGAAUUUGUAAUCUCUUCUCUAAAGACAGUUGGGAUCUGUCCCAUACUUUCAAAAUUAGGGAUUAAAGGGGUCUCGAAUGGCUUUGAGCCCACGGUACUGCCGGUAUACAGGAUGUCAUUGACCCUAAGACUGAGAUGGCUGUUCUUUUAGGACAAGAAUUUCUCCAUAUCAGAUUUUUUAUUUUCAGCUGAAGGGAGAGAAUCUUGUCUUCUGGGAGAAAGGUCUUUUGUUUCUCCAAAUUUAGGAUCAUGCCCAGAAAUGUCUUCUUCCUUGCUGGAAUUAAGUGUGACUAUGAUCCAGCCGAGGUUCUGAAGACAAGACAGAGUUAGAAGGAGGUGCUGAUGAAGAGUCUCCUUUGACUGGGCAAUAAUUAGUAAAUCCUUUUUGUCUCAGAUGAGCAACCACCUCUACCAUUACUUUCGUAAAUAUCCUCGGGGCGGAGGAUAUUCCGAAAGGAAGGGCCUGAAAUUGAAAAUGGAGGGUAGAGUGGUUGUGUUGAAUUGCAAACCUGAGGUAUUUUUGAUGAGAGGGAUAAAUUGGUAGGUGGAAUUAGGCAUCUUUUAGAUCGAUGGUGCACAUCCAGGGUCUCUUUGAUUCAGAGGUAUGGCUGUCUUCAGGGUCUCCAUCUUGAACCUUUUCUAUGAAAUAAACUUUUUUAGAUUUAUAAUAGUUCUGAACGUGCCAUUUGGCUUGGGCAUCAAAAUAGAUGGGAGUAGUGACCCAGACCUUGUUCCAAGAUGGGGACCGGAAUGACAGCUCCUAGAGACAAAAGAUCCUUUAUGCCUGAAAAGAUAGGUUUGUUUAAAAUGUCUGAUCCGUAAUUUGUAGAACAAAAUCUUGGAAGAGGAAGGCUGAUAAACUAUUAUGCAUCCCUGAGAUAUGGAAUUUAGAAUGAAGGGAUUUUUUGUGAUCUGGGACCACUGGUGACUGAACCGAGACAUUCUUCUUCCAACAAGAUUGUCAUUGCUUUUUGUUAUCAGAAUUGGGAUUGAGGAUAAAGUCUUUGCUUUUCCCUCCUUUGGGAUAGCUCCAGCGACCUCCUUUACCUUUCCUUUUAGAUCCUUUGUUCCUAUUAAAGGAACGAAAAUUUUUAUUUUGUUUAGGUUUUUUCUAUAUAGGGAAAUCUUUUUUUCCUGUCAGCCGCCUGUUCUAGAAUUUUUUCAAGGAGCGGGCCAAAGACAAGAUUACACUGGAAGGGGAUGGCACAAAGCUUAACCUUAGAGGUAGAGUCAGCUUGCCAAUUUUUAACCCAUAGGGCCCUUCUAGCGGAGUUAGAUAAGGCGGUGGCUUUUGCCACACAUCUAAUUGAUUCAGCUGAUGCAUCUACCAAAAAGGCUGUGGCUAGUUUUAACACUGGAAUUGAAGAUAUUUUAUUCAGCAAAUGGCUCUCUAACUCCUCUAGCCAUAUAAAGAGACCUGGCUACAGUAGUAGCCGCAAUAUUGGGGUUGAUUAAAGCCGAAGAGGCUUCCAAUGAUCUUUUUAGAAGACCAUCCAUUAUGCGGUCUAGAGUGUCCUUAAACUGAGCCGCAUCCUCAACUUUAGAAAGCUGCACAUCCAUUUUUGAGGUUCACUCCACAGGUUUACCUCAUUAUGGUCAAAGGGGAAACGAUUGCAAAAUUCUUUAGGAAUCUGCAAGCACCUCUCCGGAACCUGCCACUCAUCUGUGAUAAGAGUUUUUAUGCUAUUAUGAACUGAAAAAAACGUGUUUUUUUGAGGUUUCAGACCAGCAAACAUCCUAUCCUGGACAGACGUAGGUUCUGGAGUAUAUUAUAUUCAUUGCAUUUCUUACAGCGGUAAGUAAGAUAUCUGUAUCUUCAGAAGAAAAAUAAUUUUUUAUCAUCCCUCUUACGAGGUGUCUCUUGAAUUUCACCCUCUUCUUCAGAGAAAGUAACACCAGAAUUAAAAUCUUAAUUAGAAUUCGAGUCCAAAACAAUAGCAGUUUCUUGCUUUUUUGGUGGAGGAGGUUCAGCCACAGGCAUUUCAAGAGUAGCGGGAGCUGAGGUACUAGGCAGUGCAGUAGCUAUGGCAGAUUGUACUUGAAGAUUAAGUGAACGAAGCUCAUCCACAAAAGGACGGAGAUUCUUGGAAAACAAUUCUUUCAGUGUAAGCUUUACAAAGGGGUUUAGGAUGGGUGUCCGGUAGUACCACAGCACAGAUUCCAAAUUUUUGGGGCUUAGAUUUAGAUUCCUUAACAGUUUCUCUUUCUUUUGAUUUCUUUGGGGCCUCCUUGUCUCCCUAAGUGGGAAAGGGAAUACCCAUAAGAAUCAAAACUAUAUACUACUUAAAGUAGAAUAUAGGGGUAAAAAAAAGCAGCAUAGAGCAAGGCAAUAUGGUGCUAACCCCGAAGAAACCACUGCUAUAGAAAACACCAUGUGAUACAUAAGAAAACGCAGCACAGAAAGUAAGU
Molecule: long non-coding RNA, 5043 nt
Organism: Hyla sarda
Lineage: Eukaryota; Metazoa; Chordata; Amphibia; Anura; Hylidae
Exons: 3
Source: RefSeq, a predicted model, not a curated record